This 437-nucleotide ribosomal RNA is filed under the name uncultured bacterium. RNAcentral describes it as "partial 16S ribosomal RNA". It matches the Rfam family "Bacterial small subunit ribosomal RNA", at positions 341 to 792 of the family's 1533-position model. The record is from RNAcentral.
ACGGGAGGCAGCAGUGGGGAAUAUUGGGCAAUGGGCGAAAGCCUGACCCAGCAACGCCGCGUGAGGGAAGAAGGGUUUCGGCUCGUAAACCUCUGUCCUAUGGGACGAAGGAAGUGACGGUACCAUAGGAGGAAGCCCCGGCUAACUACGUGCCAGCAGCCGCGGUAAUACGUAGGGGGCGAGCGUUGUCCGGAAUGAUUGGGCGUAAAGGGCGCGUAGGCGGCCCGUUAAGUCUGGAGUGAAAGUCCUGCUUUUAAGGUGGGAAUUGCUUUGGAGACUGGCUGGCUUGAGUGCGGAAGAGGUAAGUGGAAUUCCCAGUGUAGCGGUGAAAUGCGUAGAGAUUGGGAGGAACACCAGUGGCGAAGGCGACUUACUGGGCCGUAACUGACGCUGAGGCGCGAAAGCGUGGGGAGCGAACAGGAUUAGAUACCCUGGUA